GACGAACGCUGGCGGCGUGCUUAACACAUGCAAGUCGAACGGUGAAGCCCUUCGGGGUGGAUCAGUGGCGAACGGGUGAGUAACACGUGAGCAACCUGCCCCUGGCUCUGGGACAACCACUGGAAACGGUGGCUAAUACCGGAUACGACCCGCCUCGGCAUCGAGUGUGGGUGGAAAGUUUUUCGGCUGGGGAUGGGCUCGCGGCCUAUCAGCUUGAUGGUGAGGUGAAGGCUCACCAAGGCGACGACGGGUAGCCGGCCUGAGAGGGCGACCGGCCACACUGGGACUGAGACACGGCCCAGACUCCUACGGGAGGCAGCAGUGGGGAAUAUUGCACAAUGGGCGAAAGCCUGAUGCAGCGACGCCGCGUGAGGGAUGACGGCCUUCGGGUUGUAAACCUCUUUCAGCUCCGAAGAAGCGAAAGUGACGGUAGGAGCAGAAGAAGCACCGGCUAACUACGUG
RNAcentral lists this ribosomal RNA (462 nucleotides) under uncultured bacterium. Its description in RNAcentral is "partial 16S ribosomal RNA". It matches the Rfam family "Bacterial small subunit ribosomal RNA", at positions 28 to 507 of the family's 1533-position model. The record is from RNAcentral.